This 305-nucleotide ribosomal RNA is filed under the name uncultured bacterium. RNAcentral's name for it is "bacterial SSU rRNA". It matches the Rfam family "Bacterial small subunit ribosomal RNA", at positions 335 to 658 of the family's 1533-position model. The record is from RNAcentral.
AUCCUUACGGGGGGCAGCAGUGGGGAAUAUUGCACAAUGGGCGAAAGCCUGAUGCAGCAACGCCGCGUGAAGGAAGAAGGUCUUCGGAUCGUAAACUUCUGUCCUUGGGGAAGAUAAUGACGGUACCCUUGGAGGAAGCCCCGGCUAACUACGUGCCAGCAGCCGCGGUAAUACGUAGGGGGCAAGCGUUAUCCGGAAUUAUUGGGUUUAAAGGGUGCGUAGGCGGAUUUUUAAGUCAGCGGUAAAAUGUCCGGGCUCAACCCGGGCCGGCCGUUGAAACUGGGGAUCUUGAGUGGGCGAGAAGU